This 396-nucleotide transfer-messenger RNA is filed under the name Paludibacteraceae. RNAcentral's name for it is "UBA4363 sp017937025 Standard tmRNA". It matches the Rfam family "transfer-messenger RNA". From Rfam's summary of the family: Bacterial tmRNA, also known as 10Sa RNA or SsrA, is named for its dual tRNA and mRNA-like properties. Lineage: Bacteria; Pseudomonadati; Bacteroidota; Bacteroidia; Bacteroidales. RNAcentral also lists the same sequence under 1 other name. The record is from RNAcentral.
GGGGCUGCCUGGUUUUGACAGCGGGUAGAAGUAAUGCGUAAGCAUGCAGUGCAUUGUCUGAUAAGCACUUUAAUCUCAUCGGGUAAACUAUAACUGGCGAGAAUAACUACGCUCUUGCUGCCUAACCGAAUAAUAGUAGGUCGGCUUAAUCUCGGCACAAGGUGCUGAGACAAGACAUCACUCAGAAGCCAAGCCCUGAAGCGUCUGGCAAAGUGGUGUGGUAAAAUCGGGGAUAGCAUGUGCCGGCCGUGCGGCGUGUGUGAGAUUUUAGCGGAUAAGGCAUUCGUUGGUGGCUUCGGUCUUGCGGAUGCACGAAAACCGAAGGCGAAGAUAAGCAUGUAGAAAGCGGAUUGGUUCCUCGUUUGGACACGGGUUCGACUCCCGUCAGCUCCACAA